AUGCGCUGCCCUCCCGCCGACCACCCUGGAUGGCAGUUCGACUACAGCUUGAACGGCGAGAUCCACAUCGCCCACCGGAAGCAGUGAGCCAGCUACAGCCCAUUCAGGCAGGCCCUGUCCCUCUUCCCCGACACCCAGAUCUUGUCCGACGGCAGCUACCUUGAGUUCCACACGCUCUCCCACCAGGAGGAGCAGGGGCUGCAGCGCGUGGUCUGUGUCCGUCGCAACCGCUCGUGGACGCGGGCGCGCAUCGCCGUGUUCUCAUCACACACCAUGAAGUGGCAGAUUUUUCCAUGGGUGGAAACAAGGGCCCUGGUGCCCAAUGACGCCAGCUCCUUCAAACGUGGCAAGGUGGUUGAUGGAUUCGUGUACUGGACAUUGGGGAAGGGAGCCUCCGGUAUGCUAGUGCUCAAUACAGCAACAUCUCAGUUCUACCUAAUUGAUGUGCCGUCACCCUUGAAAGAAGGCUGGAUGAUCUUUACUACAUUCAAGCUUGGCAAGACCAAGGAAGGGAAGGACGAGGAGCAGAAUCUUUUUGUUUGGUUGUGGGGAAAAGAUGGUGAUGGUGUGGAGAGAUGGAUGCUGGACAAGUCGUUUCCGUUGCGCAAGAUUGUUGAGGUCAUCAAGUGUUCAAUGGUAGUUCAUGCUGAAGCAAGAAUUUUGGCUGUCAUUGAUGGCUUUGUGUACCUGUCGAUCGACUGCCAUGCGUAUGCUGAAUGUCAGAAUUAUAGUACUUCCCCAGAGUGGAUAUUAUCAUUAUGCCUAGAAACAACAGAGGUGCAUCAGCUCUAUGAGGGCCAGUGUCAGAGUUAUGUUUGUGUCCAUCCCUACGUCAUGCCGUGGCCUCCUUGUUUGGUACACAGCAAGGUAAGCCCAUGCUUAUGUGGGAUGAUGUCCGUGAAGUUUCUACCUACGGCGGACGCCCCUGGAUCUGCAGUGGCGGCCCUUCUUGGCGAGGCAACGGCUUCCUCCUCGGCUGGAGCCGGUUGCGGGUGA
RNAcentral lists this ribosomal RNA (996 nucleotides) under Triticum aestivum (bread wheat). RNAcentral's name for it is "partial small subunit ribosomal RNA". The record is from RNAcentral. Lineage: Eukaryota; Viridiplantae; Streptophyta; Magnoliopsida; Poales; Poaceae.